This 468-nucleotide ribosomal RNA is filed under the name uncultured bacterium. RNAcentral's name for it is "partial 16S ribosomal RNA". It matches the Rfam family "Bacterial small subunit ribosomal RNA", at positions 28 to 507 of the family's 1533-position model. The record is from RNAcentral.
GACGAACGCUGGCGGCGUGCUUAACACAUGCAAGUCGAACGGAAAGGCCCUGCUUUUGUGGGGUGCUCGAGUGGCGAACGGGUGAGUAACACGUGAGUAACCUGCCCUUGACUUUGGGAUAACUUCAGGGAACUGGGGCUAAUACCGGAUAGGAGCUCCUGCUGCAUGGUGGGGGUUGGAAAGUUUCGGCGGUUGUGGAUGGACUCGCGGGUUAUCAGCUUGUUGGUGGGGUAGUGGAUUACCAAGGCUUUGACGGGUAGCCGGCCUGAGAGGGUGACCGGGCACAUUGGGACUGAGAGACGGCGCAGACUCCUACGGGAGGCAGUAGUGGGGAGCAUUGCACAAUGGGCGGAAGCCUGAGGCAGCAAUGCUGCGUGCGGAAUGACGGCUUACGGGUUGUAAACCGCUUUCGCCGGUGACGAAGCGUGAGUGACGGUAAUGGGUAAAGAAGCACCGGCUAACUACGUG